This 501-nucleotide ribosomal RNA is filed under the name uncultured bacterium. RNAcentral's name for it is "partial 16S ribosomal RNA". It matches the Rfam family "Bacterial small subunit ribosomal RNA", at positions 30 to 523 of the family's 1533-position model. The record is from RNAcentral.
AUUGAACGCUGGCGGCAGGCUUAACACAUGCAAGUCGAGCGGGGGAAGGUAGCUUGCUACCGGACCUAGCGGCGGACGGGUGAGUAAUGCUUAGGAAUCUGCCUAUUAGUGGGGGACAACAUCUCGAAAGGGAUGCUAAUAUCGCAUACGCCCUACGGGAGGAAGCACGGGAGCUUCAGACCUUGCGUUAAUAGAUGAGCCUAAGUGGCAUUAGCUAGUUGGACGGGUAAAGGCCUACCAAGGGGACGAUCUGUAGCUGGUCUGACAGAAUGAUCCGCCACACUGGGACUGAGACACGGCCCAGACUCCUACGGGAGGCAGCCGUGGGGAAUAUUGGACAAUGGGGGGAACCCUGAUCCAGCCAUGCCGCGUGUGUGAAGAAGGCCUUAUGGUUGUAAAGCACUUUAAGCGAGGAGGAGGCUACUCUAGUUAAUACCUAGGGAAAGUGGACGUUACUCGCAGAAUAAGCACCGGCUAACUCUGUGCCAGCCGCCGCCGUAA